UAAGCGGAGGAAAAGAAACUAACAAGGAUUCCCUUAGUAGCGGCGAGCGAAGCGGGAUGAGCUCAAAUUUGAAAUCUGGCGUCUUUCAGGCGUCCGAGUUGUAAUCUAUAGAAGCGUUUUCUGUGCUGGACCGUGUCCAAGUCCCUUGGAACAGGGUAUCAAAGAGGGUGACAAUCCCGUACUUGACACGACCACCAGUGCUCUGUGAUACGUUUUCUACGAGUCGAGUUGUUUGGGAAUGCAGCUCAAAAUGGGUGGUAAAUUCCAUCUAAAGCUAAAUAUUGGCGAGAGACCGAUAGCGAACAAGUACCGUGAGGGAAAGAUGAAAAGCACUUUGGAAAGAGAGUUAAACAGUACGUGAAAUUGUUGAAAGGGAAACGAUUGAAGUCAGUCGUGUCUAUUGGUUUCAGCCGGUCCUGCCGGUGUAUUACCUUUAGACGGGUCAACAUCAGUUUUGGACGGUGGAUAAUAGCAGUUUGAAUGUGGCACCUCCGGGUGUGUUAUAGCUUUCUGUUGCAUACACUGUCCGAGACUGAGGACUGCAGCUCGCCGCAAGGCCGGGGUCUCGACCCACGUUACGAGCUUAGGAUGUUGACAUAAUGGCUUUAAACGACCCGUCUUGAAACACG
This 629-nucleotide ribosomal RNA is filed under the name Derxomyces pseudoschimicola. RNAcentral describes it as "eukaryotic LSU rRNA". It matches the Rfam family "Eukaryotic large subunit ribosomal RNA", at positions 47 to 663 of the family's 3401-position model. Lineage: Eukaryota; Fungi; Basidiomycota; Tremellomycetes; Tremellales; Bulleribasidiaceae. The record is from RNAcentral.